This 1222-nucleotide ribosomal RNA is filed under the name metagenome. RNAcentral describes it as "bacterial SSU rRNA". It matches the Rfam family "Bacterial small subunit ribosomal RNA", at positions 267 to 1520 of the family's 1533-position model. The record is from RNAcentral.
ACCAAGGCGAAGACGGGUAGGGGGUGUGAGAGCACGGCCCCCCACAAUGGGACUGAGACACGGCCCAUACUCUUACGGGAGGCAGCAGCAGGGAAUAUUGCACAAUGGACGAAAGUCUGAUGCAGCGACGCUGCGUGAAUGAAGAAGGCCUUCGGGUUGUAAAAUUCUUUUCGGGGGGAAGAGGCAGGACGGUACCCUCGGAAUAAGCGUCGGCUAACUACGUGCCAGCAGCCGCGGUAAGACGUAGGACGCAAGCGUUAUCCGGAUUUACUGGGCGUAAAGCGUCUGUAGGCGGAAAGACAAGUUGGGCAAAAGCUCCGGGCUCAACCCGGAGAGUGCGUUCAAUACUGUCUAUCUAGAGGAGGUCAGAGGGGAGUGGAAUUUCAGGUGUAGCGGUAAAAUGCGCAGAUAUCUGAAGGAACACCAGUGGCGAAGGCGGCUCCCUGGGGCCCACCUGACGCUGAGAGACGAAAGCUAGGGGAGCGAACAGGAUUAGAGACCCUGGUAGUCCUAGCCAUAAACGAUGGAUGCUAGGUGUGGGACCGAGAAGGUUCUGUGCCGGAGCAAACGCGAUAAGCAUCCCGCCUGGGGAGUACGACCGCAAGGUUAAAACUCAAACGAAUUGACGGGGCCCCGCACAAGCAGCGGAGCGUGUGGUUUAAUUCGAUUUUACACGAAGAACCUUACCUGGGAUUGACAUGCAGAUGGUAGUGAAGCGAAAGCGGAACGACCCUUCGGGGAGUCUGCACAGGUGCUGCAUGGCUGUCGUCAGCUCGUGCCGUGAGGUGUCGGGUUAAGUCCCGUAACGAGCGCAACCCUUGCCCGCCGUUAUACGUGUCAGCGGGGACUGCCGGCGGUAAGCCGGAGGAAGGUGGGGAUGACGUCAAGUCAGCAUGGCCUUUAUAUCCAGGGCUACACACACGCUACAAUGGUCGGUACAAAGGGCAGCGAAACCGCGAGGUGAAGCGAAUCUCAAAAAGCCGGUCGUAGUUCGAAUUGCAGGCUGCAACUCGCCUGCAUGAAGCUGGAGUUGCUAGUAACCGCGCGUCAGCUAUAGUGCGGUGAAUACGUUCCCGGGGCUUGUACACACCGCCCGUCACGUCAUGGAAGUUGGUAACGCCUGAAGCCGGUAGCUUAGCCCGCAAGGGGGAGCGCUGUCGAAGGCGGGACUGGCAACUGGGACGAAGUCGUAACAAGGUAGCGGUACCGGAGGGUGCGGCUG